CAAGGAUUGGGAUAUAAACCCAGGCAUUCGAGCUGGCAACGGCAACCCCCUUUGGGUCUCCUCCCUUUGCAUAGGAGCUCUGUUUUCACUCUAUUAAGUCUUGCAACUGCACUCUUCUGGUCCGUGUUUCUUACCGCUUGAGCUGAGCUUUCCCUCACUGUCCACCACUGCUGUUUUGCCACCGUCACAGGCCCACCGCUGACUUCCAUUCUUCUGGAUCUAGCAGGCUGUCCACUGUGCUCCUGAUCCAGCGAGGCGCCCAUUGCCGCUCCCGAUUGGGCUAAAGGCUUGCCAUUGUUCCUGCAUGGCUACGUGCCUGGGUUCAUCCUAAUCAAGCCGAACACUAGUCACUGGGUUCCACGGUUCUCUUCCAUGACCCACGACUUCUAAUAGAACUAUAACACUCACCUCAUGGCCCAAGAUUCCAUUCCUUGGAAUCCAUGAGGCCAAGAACCCCAGGUCAGAGAACACGAGGCUUGCCACCAUCUUGGAAGUGGCCCCACCACCAUCUUGGGAGCUCUGGGAGCAAGGACCCCCGGUAACAUUUUGGCGACCACAAAGGGACAUCCAAAGUGGCUGAGAGGGUGAACCGCACAACCGUUCUUCCACCAUUCUCCAGUCUGCUCCUCCAAAAAAACUGUAUCCAAGUAUUUUUAAGAUCCAAUUCCUGCCACCCUUGAAAACACCAGCUUCAUGUGCUAUUGUUCCCCUGCCACAUGUAUCUUCAUUGUGGUGGAUACACCUUAAGAUAACUUUUAUUCACACAGAGAGACCUUCCUUCAGGACUUGAAGAAGCAAGUCAAGUUGUUACGAUGUGAAUGGAGAAGUCCACAUGUUGUUUACAUAAAAGAUGAAGAGACUUCAG
RNAcentral lists this long non-coding RNA (865 nucleotides) under Homo sapiens (human). RNAcentral describes it as "HSALNT0028087". Lineage: Eukaryota; Metazoa; Chordata; Mammalia; Primates; Hominidae. The record is from RNAcentral.